GAGUGAAUCAUUACUUUUUGAUAGACAAUUCGUAGGGGGUUUUGAAUUUGAGAUCUGUUUUUGGUUAAUGUUUUUCUUGUUCGAUUACUCGAAACUUAAUUGUUUAAUUGCUAUUAAUAGUAGAUAAAUUGUUUAAUUGUUUAGUUGCUAUUAUCCGGCAAUUGGCUCUAAUAGAAUUUGUAAUUUGUUUUGCAUAGAACACCCUCACAGGGAAUGUGCACAAAUAAUAGAGAUUUCCAUAGGCACUUUGUGGGAGUAAUUGCAUAAUUUCACAUAUUUGCAAAGAUGUAUAUUUGCAAAAAUUUUCAAAGUAAUGUAGGAUACAACAUAUGUACAUACAUAGCUAAAGCUUUUUGGUUCCAAGUCAACUUCCUAUAAUACACUAUUGGCUAAAGAAACUAUUCAAAACGCUAAGAAGAAAGUGUCAAAAUUGUUGUUUAUUCAGAUCCUAGUGUUUUUAUUUGCCUUACCUUGAAAUUUGAUGGUUCAUUGCAAACUGGAAGUUGCAGUGAAAUAGAGACAUUAUCAAGAUGAAAUGUAUUUGCACACUAUCAGUUAUUUAUUGAUCCAAUGAAGAAAGUUCACACUUGAAACCGGAAGGGCCAUUUUUCUCCCGGUAUUUUGAAUAGCACUUGCAAAUAGGGAGAUGCGUUCAUACUUUUUUUAGUAGAUAAUAGGCGGAGGAUUGCGUUUGGGUAUUUGGUUGCAAUGUUGCAUCAAAAGAAAGACGCUCUUCAUUGGUUGGCAUGAAUUGUAUGGAUAUUGAGAGCAGGCCCGGAGUGUUUGCUGUAUUUGAUUCGGCUUGUUGAACACUCAGAUUAGCUCGAGUUGGUUUUUGACCCGAACUUCCUAACCCUACUCUGAAUUAUGAUAUGGUUAAGUUAGAAAUUCAUCAGAAGGUAGAGCUUGUAAUGAGUCUUUUGUACUAAUCUUUUAUCCGCCUUCUUCUAAGUAUGGUGGUUCUUGGGGAGUAGUUACCGUUAGUAGUCAACAGUACACUAGUUUAAUAAGAAAAUUAUUGACCGAAACAUGCAAGUAGACUGCCCAUCAUCUCACUAUGCCUUUUCAUUUGCUAGUAGACUCAUGAUAAACCUUCCAUAUGAUUCUUUGGCGUAUUUCUUUCUUUUCUGCAACUGUGCUAUUGUCACAUGUAUCUAGAGUUUGAUAGAACUACAAUAGGAAACACAUUUAAAAUGCCAUUCUCCUCGAUUGUUGGUGUGUACUAAAUCUUAAUUUGUUUAAAUCAUCAGGCACUCCUAAUGUGAAUCAUUUGCUGAAGCUUUUUUGAUAGCUAGGACUUGUAUUUAUAUAAAUGGCUAUCGGUAAUAGUAAUUCGGGAAACAGGGCUCUGUAUUUUUAGGGGUCCAUGUGAUUGCCAAAGGCCAUGCCUGUAGAAUUUGCUGAAAUGUACAAUUAUAUUGCAGAUGCUUAUGGUUAUGCUGUUCUUUUGCAACAAUUUAUGCGAACUACAUGUGGCACUUGUGACAGUCAGCAUGCAUGUUUUUACUUUAUUUGCUCUGAAGAGAGUUCAGUGACAUGUGAAAAUUUCAUAGAUCUACUUUAUUUGGUACUGUUUUUACUUUAUUUGCCCACAAAUGCAUGCUCCAAACCAUAUCCCACCAAUUCAAUCUGCAUCUCUCCAAAUCCCCAUAAGAAGAUAUAUAAUUAAUAAUUACAUAGAUUGGACUUAAUAAGAUAGUUUAGUUUAUCUUCUAUUAAGUAUUAGAUAUGUUGUUCUAAAUUGAUUUGAUCACCAAGAUCACAUCCUCCAAAUAUGUAGUCUAGAAAUUAACAUUACCUUGUUACACCUUAUCCCAGAGCGGAUUUUACAAAUUGAGAGUUUGAGAUCUCUCGUCUUCGUGAAUUUGAAGCACGUCUCGAAACUUCUUUUUGAUAUUGUCCUGUCCAACCGACCGUCCCUAGAGCAAGUGGUAAAGGACUUGGUGGUUGGUACUCGAGACCCAAGUUCAAAUCCUAGUUGAUUCACAUUUCUAGCUAAGUUUAUUUCUAAAUGAAAUAAACGAAACGAGUAGCGUGCUACCUAUCUAUCUCUCAAAAAAAGAAAAAAAAGAAAGAAAAAAAAGAAGAAGAUAUUGUCCUGCCCAUUUUGUCACUAGCUUUGUAUUUAAUGUAAAUAGAAGAUCAUCAGUAAAAUUUUUCUAUGAUGUAGAGCCGACGAUUUUCUUAGGAGAAAAAAAAAGAAUAAACAAUCCAAUAUAUAAUAUAGAAAAUAUUGGAAAACAAAUGAGUAUCUUGCUAAUCAAAAUUUAGUCACAUAAUUUAGAGCGUAUUAAACUAGUACGUUUACUUAAUUUCUUCUCGAGAUUCUUUUGUAUUAAUUGGGCCCUACCCACGUGACAAGUCCCCUAUAAGGGCCCAUUGUACUAGAAAAGUGGGUUGAGCCCAACACACACACACACACACACACAAAGUGGGUAAAGUUCCUGCAUGUUCAUUUAUACUUUGGAAUGAAUAACUAUCCUAGGAAGAGAUAGUAAAAUUCAGCUUUGGACUGAUUGAUACUUGUUUGCAUUCGAAAGUGCUUGUUAAAUCAGAAUUCAGAUUUAUAUCCCGUAACCUUGUUUGUAUUCGAAAGUGCAGCAUCUAUUUCCUCAUUUUAUCUUGUAGUUAUGAAAAAAAUGGAAUCAUUUUGUUUUAUAAAUAAUUGCUUGUCACUUCUGAAAUAACUGAUAAAGAAAUAAUAAUACGUACAGGACAUGCCAUAGAAAUUAAUUAAUGGAUUGAAAAGAAAUAAUAAUGGGGUGAUAGGGAAAUAUUGAUGCUUAAUUAAUUUGUGUGCCCCCAAAAUGUAAGUGCUUUAGUACAUUUUGAUCGAUCAUAUAUAACACUAUUUUUUUUUUGUUUUUUUGGUACCUAUAUGGGCAAUGUUUUAGUACAUACUUUGUGAUUUUUGAGAGUUUUGAUUGAUUGAUUGAUUCGCACAUUUCAAGUGUUUCAUUAGUGCGGUGCAUGCAUUUAGAGUUGCAUUGCAGCUCUAGAUCUAAUUGCGUCGCGUGCUAGUUGUGUACUAUUUGAUAGAUUGUACAGUGAAGCCAUUUAUUUAUAUAUUAUUACUUCUGGUUUAGGGAGUUUUUAACUAAUUGGUACACAUACUUUUGAGUAUUUAUUUUGUGUGGCGCAUUUGGAGUUGCAUUAAUUUUAACUCUAGCUGUUGAUAGAUUAUAACUAAUUAAGUCCAUCACUAUAGUUGCGGCUGCAACAAAACUCAGUGUAAUACAUGAUCUUAAAAAUUUGAGGUAAAUGUGAAGAUUUAUUUGUAUCGGUAAUUGUUCUUAUCUAUCCAUUUAUUUGAUUUUAGGAUCAGUCUGUUUUAUUCAGUUAGGUUCCGGAAUUUUUUUAUAGUAGUAAGUUUGUUGAGUAGAAAGUACUUUAAUAGAUGAAAUUCAAUUUUCG
This 3414-nucleotide long non-coding RNA is filed under the name Ananas comosus (pineapple). RNAcentral's name for it is "long non-coding RNA (ACOM_LNC027743)". Lineage: Eukaryota; Viridiplantae; Streptophyta; Magnoliopsida; Poales; Bromeliaceae. The record is from RNAcentral.